AUGGUGGACCUAUUUCCAACUAACUUAAGGGUUAUGGCUGCUGCACUAUCUUUAACGUUUGGGCGAGGAGGCGCUUUAGUAGGAAAUUUACUGUUCGGUUACUUAAUAGAUCUGAAUUGCGUAGUACCAGUUGUGAUAUUCUCGAUUAUGUUAUUUAUAAGCGGUGCAUUGUGUUUCUUCUUGCCAAGCACAGGCAGUGAAGCGCUAGAUUGAAUAACUGUAAUAUCCGAAACAAAGCUACAUCUGUAGAUAUUGAGUAUGUUAAGAUUUUAAUUUGAUAGCUUACCUAUAAUAACGUUUACGCAAAAAUAUAGAUUAUCUGAGAACAAAUAUU
Aedes albopictus (Asian tiger mosquito) is the source of this 334-nucleotide long non-coding RNA. RefSeq lists it as uncharacterized. The record is from RefSeq and is a predicted model, not a curated record. Lineage: Eukaryota; Metazoa; Arthropoda; Insecta; Diptera; Culicidae. The transcript has 3 exons.